RNAcentral lists this ribosomal RNA (467 nucleotides) under uncultured bacterium. Its description in RNAcentral is "partial 16S ribosomal RNA". It matches the Rfam family "Bacterial small subunit ribosomal RNA", at positions 29 to 507 of the family's 1533-position model. The record is from RNAcentral.
ACGAACGCUGGCGGCGUGCUUAACACAUGCAAGUCGCACGGAAAGGCCCUGCUUUUGUGGGGUGCUCGAGUGGCGAACGGGUGAGUAACACGUGAGUAACCUGCCCUUGACUUUGGGAUAACUUCAUGAAACUGGGGCUAAUACCGGAUAGGAGCUCCUGCUGCCUGGUGGGGGUUGGAAAGUUUCGGCGGUUGGGGAUGGACUCGCGGCUUAUCAGCUUGUUGGUGGGGUAGUGGCUUACCAAGGCUUUGACGGGUAGCCGGCCUGAGAGGGUGACCGGCCACAUUGGGACUGAGAUACGGCCCAGACUCCUACGGGAGGCAGCAGUGGGGAAUAUUGCACAAUGGGCGGAAGCCUGAUGCAGCAACGCCGCGUGCGGGAUGACGGCCUUCGGGUUGUAAACCGCUUUCGCCUGUGACGAAGCGUGAGUGACGGUAAUGGGUAAAGAAGCACCGGCUAACUACGUG